UGCAAAUACUGGUGAAGUCUUUAGUGGAAGAAAAAUUUCAGGUUUCCAAAUUGCCAAAUAGAGUAAAUUUCUUUCUUUUUCAAAGAGGAGCCUAGUUCAGGAUUUAUAAAGUUUCUUAGUGUGUGUUUUAAAUGGCUUUACAUUUUUUUCCCUUCUUCUUUUUGACAGGAGUCUUUUAGUCCUGCUAUACAGCUGCACCUUGUACAUCAAGCUCCAUGUAAUGUUCCUCCUUACCUCUCAAAGAAUGAAUCAAACCUUGGGGACCUCUUACUGGGCUUUCUUAAAUAUUAUGCUACAGAAUUUGACUGGAAUAGUCAAAUGAUUUCAGUUCGUGAAGCCAAAGCCAUUCCGAGGCCUGAUGGUAUUGAAUGGAGAAAUAAAUACAUCUGUGUAGAAGAACCUUUUGAUGGAACAAAUACAGCCAGAGCAGUGCACGAAAAGCAGAAAUUUGAUAUGAUCAAGGAUCAAUUUUUAAAGUCAUGGCACAGAUUGAAAAACAAGAGAGAUUUGAACAGUAUA
RNAcentral lists this small RNA (519 nucleotides) under Pongo abelii (Sumatran orangutan). Its description in RNAcentral is "retained intron". Lineage: Eukaryota; Metazoa; Chordata; Mammalia; Primates; Hominidae. The record is from RNAcentral.